UGCCAGCCGCCGCGGUAACACGGGGGGCGCAAGCGUUAUUCGGAAUUAUUGGGCGUAAAGGGCGCGCAGGCGGUCUUGUCCGUCAGGUGUGAAAGCUCGGGGCUCAACCCCGGAAGUGCACUUGAAACAGCAAGACUUGAAUACGGUAGAGGAGAGAGGAAUUCCUGGUGUAGAGGUGAAAUUCGUAGAUAUCAGGAGGAACACCGAUGGCGAAGGUGGCUUACUGGGUCACAACUGACGCUGAGGCACGAAAGCGUGGGGAGCAAACAGGAUUAGAUA
Molecule: ribosomal RNA, 279 nt
Filed under: uncultured bacterium
Lineage: Bacteria
Description: partial 16S ribosomal RNA
Rfam family: Bacterial small subunit ribosomal RNA
Source: RNAcentral